This 571-nucleotide ribosomal RNA is filed under the name Bacillus sp. PSu2_17. Its description in RNAcentral is "bacterial SSU rRNA". It matches the Rfam family "Bacterial small subunit ribosomal RNA", at positions 56 to 610 of the family's 1533-position model. Lineage: Bacteria; Bacillati; Bacillota; Bacilli; Caryophanales; Bacillaceae. The record is from RNAcentral.
UGCAGUCGAGCGGACCGACGGGAGCUUGCUCCCUUAGGUCAGCGGCGGACGGGUGAGUAACACGUGGGUAACCUGCCUGUAAGACUGGGAUAACUCCGGGAAACCGGGGCUAAUACCGGAUGCUUGAUUGAACCGCAUGGUUCAAUCAUAAAAGGCGGCUUCGGCUGCCGUUUACAGAUGGACCCGCGGCGCAUUAGCUAGUUGGUGAGGUAACGGCUCACCAAGGCGACGAUGCGUAGCCGACCUGAGAGGGUGAUCGGCCACACUGGGACUGAGACACGGCCCAGACUCCUACGGGAGGCAGCAGUAGGGAAUCUUCCGCAAUGGACGAAAGUCUGACGGAGCAACGCCGCGUGAGUGAUGAAGGUUUUCGGAUCGUAAAGCUCUGUUGUUAGGGAAGAACAAGUACCGUUCGAAUAGGGCGGUACCUUGACGGUACCUAACCAGAAAGCCACGGCUAACUACGUGCCAGCAGCCGCGGUAAUACGUAGGUGGCAAGCGUUGUCCGGAAUUAUUGGGCGUAAAGCGCGCGCAGGCGGUUUCUUAAGUCUGAUGUGAAAGCCCCCGGCUC